RNAcentral lists this ribosomal RNA (477 nucleotides) under uncultured bacterium. RNAcentral's name for it is "partial 16S ribosomal RNA". It matches the Rfam family "Bacterial small subunit ribosomal RNA", at positions 28 to 523 of the family's 1533-position model. The record is from RNAcentral.
GACGAACGCUGGCGGCGUGCUUAACACAUGCAAGUCGAACGGUAAGGCCCUUCGGGGUACACGAGUGGCGAACGGGUGAGUAACACGUGGGUGAUCUGCCUGCACUUCGGGAUAAGCCUGGGAAACUGGGUCUAAUACCGGAUAGGACCACUGCCUGCAUGGGGGGCGGUGGAAAGCUUUUGGGGUGUGGGAUGGGCCCGCGGCCUAUCAGCUUGUUGGUGUGGUGCUGGCCUACCUAGGCGACGACGGGUAGCCGGCCUGAGAGGGUGACCGGCCACACUGGGACUGAGGUGCGGCCCAGACUCCUACGGGAGGCAGCAGUGUGGAAUAUAGCACAAUGGGCGCAAGCCGAAUGCAGCGCCGCCGCGUGAGGGAUGACGGCCUUCGGGUUGUAAACCUCUUUCAGCACCGACGAAGCGCAAGUGACGGUAGGUGCAGAAGAAGGACCGGCCAACUACGUGCCAGCCGCCGCGGUAA